RNAcentral lists this transfer RNA (73 nucleotides) under Ictidomys tridecemlineatus (thirteen-lined ground squirrel). RNAcentral describes it as "Spermophilus tridecemlineatus (thirteen-lined ground squirrel) tRNA". It matches the Rfam family "tRNA". From Rfam's summary of the family: Transfer RNA (tRNA) molecules are approximately 80 nucleotides in length. Their secondary structure includes four short double-helical elements and three loops (D, anti-codon, and T loops). Further hydrogen bonds mediate the characteristic L-shaped molecular structure. tRNAs have two regions of fundamental functional importance: the anti-codon, which is responsible for specific mRNA codon recognition, and the 3' end, to which the tRNAs corresponding amino acid is attached (by aminoacyl-tRNA synthetases). tRNAs cope with the degeneracy of the genetic code in two manners: having more than one tRNA (with a specific anti-codon) for a particular amino acid; and 'wobble' base-pairing, i.e. permitting non-standard base-pairing at the 3rd anti-codon position. The record is from Rfam by way of RNAcentral. Lineage: Eukaryota; Metazoa; Chordata; Mammalia; Rodentia; Sciuridae.
GGGGAUAUAGCUGAAACGGUAGAGUGUUUGCCUCACAUGCACAAGGCCCUGGGUUCAAUCCCCAGCACCAUCA